RNAcentral lists this Y RNA (107 nucleotides) under Microcebus murinus (gray mouse lemur). RNAcentral's name for it is "Y RNA (ENSMICG00000021328.3)". It matches the Rfam family "Y RNA". Rfam says of the family: Y RNAs are components of the Ro ribonucleoprotein particle (Ro RNP), in association with Ro60 and La proteins. The record is from Rfam by way of RNAcentral. Lineage: Eukaryota; Metazoa; Chordata; Mammalia; Primates; Cheirogaleidae.
GGCUGGUCUGCGUGCAGUGGUGUUUGCAACUGAUGAUCACAACCGGCUACGGAUUCCUUUGUUCCUUCCCCCACUCCACUCCUAGGGCUUCACUUGACCAGCCAUUA